RNAcentral lists this ribosomal RNA (440 nucleotides) under uncultured bacterium. RNAcentral describes it as "partial 16S ribosomal RNA". It matches the Rfam family "Bacterial small subunit ribosomal RNA", at positions 338 to 795 of the family's 1533-position model. The record is from RNAcentral.
CCUACGGGAGGCUGCAGUAGGGAAUUUUGCGCAAUGGGCGCAAGCCUGACGCAGCAACGCCGCGUGAUCGAGACGCCCUUCGGGGUGUAAAGAUCUGUCAGUGGGGACGAAACUUGACGGUACCAACAGAGGAAGCACCGGCUAACUCCGUGCCAGCAGCCGCGGUAAUACGGGGGGUGCAAGCGGUGUCCGGAAUCAUUGGGCGUAAAGAGUUCGUAGGCGGCACGGAAAGUCUGGUGUUAAAGGCAGAGGCUCAACUUCUGUACGGCAUUGGUUACUUUCUAGCUAGAAUGCUGUAGAGGUAAAGGGAAUUCCUGGUGUAGCGGUGAAAUGCGUAGAUAUCAGGAGGAACAUCGGUGGCGUAAGCGCUUUACUGGGCCGUAAUUGACGCUGAGGAACGAAAGCCAGGGGAGCAAAUGGGAUUAGAUACCCCUGUAGUC